Molecule: ribosomal RNA, 869 nt
Filed under: Paragalactinia succosa
Lineage: Eukaryota; Fungi; Ascomycota; Pezizomycetes; Pezizales; Pezizaceae
Description: SSU rRNA
Rfam family: Bacterial small subunit ribosomal RNA
Source: RNAcentral
CCGCGUGCAGGAUGACGGUCCUAUGGAUUGUAAACUGCUUUUAUACGAGAAGAAACACUGCUUCGUGAAGCAGCUUGACGGUAUCGUAAGAAUAAGGAUCGGCUAACUCCGUGCCAGCAGCCGCGGUAAUACGGAGGAUCCAAGCGUUAUCCGGAAUCAUUGGGUUUAAAGGGUCCGUAGGCGGUUUAAUAAGUCAGUGGUGAAAGCCCAUCGCUCAACGGUGGAACGGCCAUUGAUACUGUUAAACUUGAAUUAUUAGGAAGUAACUAGAAUAUGUAGUGUAGCGGUGAAAUGCUUAGAGAUUACAUGGAAUACCAAUUGCGAAGGCAGGUUACUACUAAUGGAUUGACGCUGAUGGACGAAAGCGUGGGUAGCGAACAGGAUUAGAUACCCUGGUAGUCCACGCCGUAAACGAUGGAUACUAGCUGUUGGAAGCAAUUUCAGUGGCUAAGCGAAAGUGAUAAGUAUCCCACCUGGGGAGUACGUUCGCAAGAAUGAAACUCAAAGGAAUUGACGGGGGCCCGCACAAGCGGUGGAGCAUGUGGUUUAAUUCGAUGAUACGCGAGGAACCUUACCAAGGCUUAAAUGUAGAUUGACCGGUUUGGAAACAGAUCUUUCGCAAGACAAUUUACAAGGUGCUGCAUGGUUGUCGUCAGCUCGUGCCGUGAGGUGUCAGGUUAAGUCCUAUAACGAGCGCAACCCCUGUUGUUAGUUGCCANCGAGUCAUGUCGGGAACUCUAACAAGACUGCCAGUGCAAACUGUGAGGAAGGUGGGGAUGACGUCAAAUCAUCACGGCCCUUACGCCUUGGGCUACACACGUGCUACAAUGGCCGGUACAGAGAGCAGCCACUGGGCGACCAGGAGCKAA